AUCAGCCUACGGGGCGCAGCAGUGGGGAAUAUUGCGCAAUGGGGGCAACCCUGACGCAGCAACGCCGCGUGCGGGAUGAAGGCUUUCGGGUUGUAAACCGCUUUCAGCAGGGAUGACAUCGACAGUACCUGCAGAAGAAGCCCCGGCUAACUACGUGCCAGCAGCCGCGGUAAUACGUAGGGGGCGAGCGUUAUCCGGAUUCAUUGGGCGUAAAGCGCGCGCAGGCGGGCUUGCAAGGGGGGCCUUUAAUCUUGGGGCUUAACCUCAAGUCGGGGUCCGAACUGCAAGCCUCGAGUGGCGUAGGG
RNAcentral lists this ribosomal RNA (305 nucleotides) under uncultured bacterium. RNAcentral's name for it is "bacterial SSU rRNA". It matches the Rfam family "Bacterial small subunit ribosomal RNA", at positions 332 to 656 of the family's 1533-position model. The record is from RNAcentral.